GCUCGAAUAGUGUAGUGGUUAUCACGCCAGUCUCACACACUGGAGGUCCCAGGUUCGAAACCUGGUUCGAGCA
This is a transfer RNA of Neurospora tetrasperma FGSC 2509, 73 nucleotides long. It matches the Rfam family "tRNA". Rfam says of the family: Transfer RNA (tRNA) molecules are approximately 80 nucleotides in length. Their secondary structure includes four short double-helical elements and three loops (D, anti-codon, and T loops). Lineage: Eukaryota; Fungi; Ascomycota; Sordariomycetes; Sordariales; Sordariaceae. The record is from Rfam.